This 401-nucleotide long non-coding RNA is filed under the name Malus domestica (apple). RNAcentral's name for it is "long non-coding RNA (MDOM_LNC013456)". The record is from RNAcentral. Lineage: Eukaryota; Viridiplantae; Streptophyta; Magnoliopsida; Rosales; Rosaceae.
AAUAAAGAUUCACAAAGGCCCAAAAGCCCAAAUCCCUUAUGUGGCCGGCCAUGUGUGUUGAAUUAAGGUUUUUGGUUCUUUAGGUCAUUUAAAGAAGUGACUAUAUAAAGAACUUUAUAGCCUAAAAUUCAUUAAGGGUUUCUUUUAGGAAAUUGGAGAGAACACAAAGCUCUCCUUUCUCUCUAAAGAGGCCGGCCUCCUUGGAGGGUGUAGCUAGCAAUCCCACUCCUCCAAGGUCACUCAUUUCUUCUCCAAUCUAACCUUGGUGUAGACACUUAGAGGUUCUCAAUUUUGGGAACUUGGAGAACCAUAUUCUUCCAUCCAAAACCAUGGAUCUAAGAAGCAAGGAAUGAAGGCCCUCUCUUUGGGUGAUUAGCCUUUGCUUAUGCAAAGAGGAAUCU